Molecule: long non-coding RNA, 411 nt
Filed under: Citrus sinensis (sweet orange)
Lineage: Eukaryota; Viridiplantae; Streptophyta; Magnoliopsida; Sapindales; Rutaceae
Description: long non-coding RNA (CSIN_LNC001860)
Source: RNAcentral
UGUUGUUUGCUCAAAUUGAUGCCGUCUACGCAGCACUUGCUUCUUUAGGUUACAAGAAGCUAUUACUGCACAUUUCGGAGACUGGUUGGCCAUCAAAGGGAGAUGAGGAUGAAGCUGGGGCUACUCCUGAAAAUGCAAAGAAGUAUAAUGGAAAUUUGAUCAAGUUGAUUUCGUCAAAGAAAGGGACUCCCAUGAGACCCAACUGUGAUUUGAACAUUUAUGUGUUUGCUUUGUUUAAUGAAAAUCUGAAGCCUGGACCUACUUCUGAGAGAAAUUAUGGGCUGUUUAAGCCGGAUGGAUCCCCGUCUUAUUCACUUGGGAUUAGUGCGGUGACCGCCGCCAACACCACUGUCGCUUCCCCAACUCCCCCCACCCUGCCGGAUACUUCCUCUGGUAACGAUCCCGAUUCUG